GAUCAUGGCUCAGGACGAACGCUGGCGGCGUGCUUAACACAUGCAAGUCGAACGAGAAUCUGCGGAAAGAGGAUUCGUCCAAUUGAAGCAGAGGACAGUGGCAGACGGGUGAGUAACGCGUGAGGAACCUGCCGUUUCAGAGGGGGACAACAGUUGGAAACGACUGCUAAUACCGCAUGACACAUAGGUGUCGCAUGGCACUUAUGUCAAAGAUUUAUCGCUGAAAG
RNAcentral lists this ribosomal RNA (227 nucleotides) under uncultured bacterium. RNAcentral describes it as "partial 16S ribosomal RNA". It matches the Rfam family "Bacterial small subunit ribosomal RNA", at positions 15 to 224 of the family's 1533-position model. The record is from RNAcentral.